This 2135-nucleotide ribosomal RNA is filed under the name Vibrio cholerae. RNAcentral describes it as "partial 23S ribosomal RNA". It matches the Rfam family "Bacterial large subunit ribosomal RNA", at positions 1 to 2171 of the family's 2925-position model. Lineage: Bacteria; Pseudomonadati; Pseudomonadota; Gammaproteobacteria; Vibrionales; Vibrionaceae. The record is from RNAcentral.
GUUGUAUGGUUAAGUGACUAAGCGUACACGGUGGAUGCCUAGGCAGUCAGAGGCGAUGAAGGACGUACUAACUUGCGAUAAGCGCAGAUAAGGCAGUAAGAGCCGUUUGAGUCUGCGAUUUCCGAAUGGGGAAACCCAACUGCACAAGCAGUUACUGUUAACUGAAUACAUAGGUUAACAGAGCAAACCGGGGGAACUGAAACAUCUAAGUACCCCGAGGAGAAGAAAUCAACCGAGAUUCCGGUAGUAGCGGCGAGCGAACCUGGAUUAGCCCUUAAGCACUCGUUGAAGUAGGUGAACAAGCUGGAAAGCUUGGCGAUACAGGGUGAUAGCCCCGUAACCGACGCUUCAUCGAGCGUGAAAUCGAGUAGGGCGGGACACGUGAUAUCCUGUCUGAAUAUGGGGGGACCAUCCUCCAAGGCUAAAUACUCCUGACUGACCGAUAGUGAACCAGUACCGUGAGGGAAAGGCGAAAAGAACCCCUGUGAGGGGAGUGAAAUAGAACCUGAAACCGUGUACGUACAAGCAGUAGGAGCACCUUCGUGGUGUGACUGCGUACCUUUUGUAUAAUGGGUCAGCGACUUAUAUUCAGUGGCAAGGUUAACCGUAUAGGGGAGCCGUAGCGAAAGCGAGUCUUAACUGGGCGCUCAGUCUCUGGAUAUAGACCCGAAACCGGGUGAUCUAGCCAUGGGCAGGUUGAAGGUUGAGUAACAUCAACUGGAGGACCGAACCGACUAAUGUUGAAAAAUUAGCGGAUGACUUGUGGCUAGGGGUGAAAGGCCAAUCAAACUCGGAGAUAGCUGGUUCUCCCCGAAAGCUAUUUAGGUAGCGCCUCGGACGAAUACUACUGGGGGUAGAGCACUGUUAAGGCUAGGGGGUCAUCCCGACUUACCAACCCUUUGCAAACUCCGAAUACCAGUAAGUACUAUCCGGGAGACACACGGCGGGUGCUAACGUCCGUCGUGGAGAGGGAAACAACCCAGACCGCCAGCUAAGGUCCCAAAGUAUUGCUAAGUGGGAAACGAUGUGGGAAGGCUCAGACAGCUAGGAUGUUGGCUUAGAAGCAGCCAUCAUUUAAAGAAAGCGUAAUAGCUCACUAGUCGAGUCGGCCUGCGCGGAAGAUGUAACGGGGCUAAGCAAUACACCGAAGCUGCGGCAAUGCCUUUUAGGUAUUGGGUAGGGGAGCGUUCUGUAAGCCGUUGAAGGUGGUCUGUAAGGGCUGCUGGAGGUAUCAGAAGUGCGAAUGCUGACAUGAGUAACGACAAAGGGGGUGAAAAACCUCCUCGCCGGAAGACCAAGGGUUCCUGUCCAACGUUAAUCGGGGCAGGGUGAGUCGACCCCUAAGGUGAGGCCGAAAGGCGUAAUCGAUGGGAAACGGGUUAAUAUUCCCGUACUUCUGACUAUUGCGAUGGGGGGACGGAGAAGGCUAGGUGGGCCAGGCGACGGUUGUCCUGGUUCAAGUGCGUAGGCUUAAGAGUUAGGUAAAUCCGGCUCUUUCUAAGGCUGAGACACGACGUCGAGCUGCUACGGCAGUGAAGUCAUUGAUGCCAUGCUUCCAGGAAAAGCCUCUAAGCUUCAGAUAGUCAGGAAUCGUACCCCAAACCGACACAGGUGGUCGGGUAGAGAAUACCAAGGCGCUUGAGAGAACUCGGGUGAAGGAACUAGGCAAAAUGGUACCGUAACUUCGGGAGAAGGUACGCUCUUGAUGGUGAAGUCCCUUGCGGAUGGAGCUGACGAGAGUCGCAGAUACCAGGUGGCUGCAACUGUUUAUUAAAAACACAGCACUGUGCAAAAUCGCAAGAUGACGUAUACGGUGUGACGCCUGCCCGGUGCCGGAAGGUUAAUUGAUGGGGUUAGCGCAAGCGAAGCUCUUGAUCGAAGCCCCGGUAAACGGCGGCCGUAACUAUAACGGUCCUAAGGUAGCGAAAUUCCUUGUCGGGUAAGUUCCGACCUGCACGAAUGGCGUAAUGAUGGCCACGCUGUCUCCACCCGAGACUCAGUGAAAUUGAAAUCGCUGUGAAGAUGCAGUGUACCCGCGGCUAGACGGAAAGACCCCGUGAACCUUUACUACAGCUUGGCACUGAACAUUGAACCUACAUGUGUAGGAUAGGUGGGAGGCUAUGAAGACGUGACGC